AUGGGCCUGGAGUUUGAGGACGACUGCAGUUACUACCACCGCCUUGACAUCACCACCCCAGAACUCCACCUCGCAUCACCCCUCUACAUCGUCUUCGACUUCUCCAACCGCCACCUCGACGCCAUUGUCGUCGCUGCUCUGCUUCAACCUGUUCUUGGUGGCAGUGCUGCUGACUUCUUCGUGGCCAUGUGCUCUCCUCUUGUUUUCCGCCUCCAUGUUGCCUCAUCGCGUGUCGCAGAGAUCAUCCUCGCCCAAACCAGGGUCCGCCACCACAACUUCGCCUUCUUCUUCACUAGAACCCUGCCCCCGCUUCCACCACCACCCCAGGCCGCCGCGUCUUGCAUGUCGCUUGCACACCUGCUUCAAAUUCCAGAUGAUCUGGGUCUUCACUUUGAAGGCGUCACAUGGUCACAACUCCGAUCUCCAGUCUCAAUUGAUCCAUGCAACCAGCCACACCGAUGCCGCAUGUAUGCGCGUGUCAUCCAGUUCCCGUUCGCCCUUAAUGCCACCUCAAUGGCCCUCAUCCUUGCUCAUCUAUUCGGCGGCUUCCACCACAGCUUCAACAUCACGAACGACGGUGACUCAUGUUUCUCGUUCACCGUCGCCUCGCAAGAAGUCGCCAAGCUCAUCGCCUCCAUGGGUGACUUCCACAAGAAGGGCAUGCUGAUCCGUUUCCCCUAG
RNAcentral lists this ribosomal RNA (681 nucleotides) under Triticum aestivum (bread wheat). RNAcentral's name for it is "partial small subunit ribosomal RNA". The record is from RNAcentral. Lineage: Eukaryota; Viridiplantae; Streptophyta; Magnoliopsida; Poales; Poaceae.